AAGUCGUAACAAGGUUUCCGUAGGUGAACCUGCGGAAGGAUCAUUACCGAGUACCGGGUCUUUCAGGCCCUUACUCCCACCCUUAUGUUUACCAAACCAUUUAUUUCGUUGCCUUGGUGGUGUACUUUUUGUUUCCUUCGGGGGCAGAAGGUCCCACCAGGGGAACACCCCCUAAACUCUUGUUAAAAACCGAGUUGUCUGAGAAAAAAACAAAUGAAUUAAAACUUUCAACAACGGAUCUCUUGGUUCUG
This 251-nucleotide unclassified non-coding RNA is filed under the name Helicosporium sp. Its description in RNAcentral is "partial internal transcribed spacer region". The stretch from base 1 to 46 matches the Rfam family "Eukaryotic small subunit ribosomal RNA", at positions 1786 to 1831 of the family's 1831-position model. RNAcentral also lists the same sequence under 2 other names. Lineage: Eukaryota; Fungi; Ascomycota; Dothideomycetes; Tubeufiales; Tubeufiaceae. The record is from RNAcentral.